This 114-nucleotide small nucleolar RNA is filed under the name Echinops telfairi (small Madagascar hedgehog). RNAcentral describes it as "Small nucleolar RNA SNORA61 (ENSETEG00000024113.1)". The record is from RNAcentral. Lineage: Eukaryota; Metazoa; Chordata; Mammalia; Afrosoricida; Tenrecidae.
ACCCUUGUUUUCUUACUCAUCAGAUCUGAACAUUGAUCUUAGUAGUUACAAAAGGCAGAAAGGUAAAAUUGAAAUUGACUUCAAUGUUGGCACAUGGGCUAGUUUCAAACAAAA